RNAcentral lists this ribosomal RNA (506 nucleotides) under uncultured bacterium. RNAcentral describes it as "partial 16S ribosomal RNA". It matches the Rfam family "Bacterial small subunit ribosomal RNA", at positions 29 to 523 of the family's 1533-position model. The record is from RNAcentral.
AGUGAACGCUGGCGGUAGGCCUAACACAUGCAAGUCGAACGGCAGCACAGAGGAGCUUGCUCCUUGGGUGGCGAGUGGCGGACGGGUGAGGAAUACAUCGGAAUCUACUCUGUCGUGGGGGAUAACGUAGGGAAACUUACGCUAAUACCGCAUACGACCUACGGGUGAAAGCAGGGGAUCUUCGGACCUUGCGCGAUUGAAUGAGCCGAUGUCGGAUGAGCUAGUUGGCGGGGUAAAGGCCCACCAAGGCGACGAUCCGUAGCUGGUCUGAGAGGAUGCUCAGCCACACUGGAACUGAGGCACGGUCCAGACUCCUACGGGAGGCAGCAGUGGGGAAUAUUGGACAAUGGGCGCAAGCCUGAUCCAGCCAUGCCGCGUGAGUGAAGAAGGCCUUCGGGUUGUAAAGCUCUUUUGUCCGGAAAGAAAAGCCUUCGGUUAAUACCCGGGGGUGAUGACGGUACCGGAAGAAUAAGCACCGGCUAACUUCGUGCCAGCCGCCGCAGUAA